This 450-nucleotide ribosomal RNA is filed under the name uncultured bacterium. Its description in RNAcentral is "partial 16S ribosomal RNA". It matches the Rfam family "Bacterial small subunit ribosomal RNA", at positions 354 to 796 of the family's 1533-position model. The record is from RNAcentral.
GUAGGGAAUCUUCCACAAUGGACGAAAGUCUGAUGGAGCAACGCCGCGUGAGUGAAGAAGGUUCUCGGAUCGUAAAACUCUGUUGUGAGGGAAGAACAAGUACCGGAGUAACUGCCGGUACCUUGACGGUACCUCAUUAGAAAGCCACGGCUAACUACGUGCCAGCAGCCGCGGUAAUACGUAGGUGGCAAGCGUUGUCCGGAAUCAUUGGGCGUAAAGUGCGCGCAGGCGGUCCCUUAAGUCUGAUGUGAAAGCCCACGGCUCAACCGUGGAGGGUCAUUGGAAACUGGGGGACUUGAGUGCAGAAGAGGAAAGCGGAAUUCCAAGUGUAGCGGUGAAAUGCGUAGAGAUUUGGAGGAACACCAGUGGCGAAGGCGGCUUUCUGGUCUGUAACUGACGCUGAGGCGCGAAAGCGUGGGGAGCAAACAGGAUUAGAUACCCGGGUAGUCC